This 736-nucleotide long non-coding RNA is filed under the name Nicotiana benthamiana. Its description in RNAcentral is "long non-coding RNA (NBEN_LNC023874)". Lineage: Eukaryota; Viridiplantae; Streptophyta; Magnoliopsida; Solanales; Solanaceae. The record is from RNAcentral.
UUCUAGUCAAAAUGUCACAUUCUAACUCACGCCAGUUUAUUAUGAGAUGUAGAACUACAAAAUGAAUUCUUAAGAAGGGUGUGCCAAGGUCCAUAACUUUCAUUUAUGAGCUUUUUGUAUCUCCUGGUGGUGGUAUAAAGUGUGGUUGUCCAUUACUUUGAUAGCACAAAGCUUCAUCUUCGAUUCUCUCUUGUUUCCUGAAAUGAUGAAUCUGAAAUUAGGUCAAGUUAUUAAUGUCACGAUCCAAACCCCACUCUGAUUGUGAUGGAGAUUCUCGUGAUGACAAGUCCAUCCAUCCAGCCCAAUUUGCCGUUUUGAAAUUAAAUAAAUAUGCGUAUACAAUUUUAAAGAUGGUUCAAUAAUAUUAUUUAGCGGAAGUACAACCCAAGCAUAGCACAAAUCGGGAUGUCACAAGUCACGAGCAUCUCGAAGAGUCUAAACAUAACUACAAGGCCAGUAAUAUACAAAAGAAAAUUUAGACUGAAAAGGAAGAAAUUCGCGCCGCGAACGCUGGUGGUUACCUUGGUUAGCUACGAUAGCAAAAUCUCCAAUCAGCUCAAAACCCGCUACUGGAUAAACAAAUACCUGCAUCUGUAUACAAGGUGUAGGGAGUAAAGUGAGUGCUCUAACUCUAUGAGUAAUAAAGGUAAAUAAUAACCGAGCUGUAAGAAAUCACGCAAAACAAAUCAUUGUGCUGUAUAGAAGCAAUGUAAAACUAUUUGAGAUAAUCAGCGAA